This 253-nucleotide ribosomal RNA is filed under the name uncultured bacterium. Its description in RNAcentral is "partial 16S ribosomal RNA". It matches the Rfam family "Bacterial small subunit ribosomal RNA", at positions 524 to 776 of the family's 1533-position model. The record is from RNAcentral.
UACGUAGGGGGCUAGCGUUGUCCGGAUUUAUUGGGCGUAAAGAGCGUGUAGGCGGCCUGGUAGGUCUGCUGUGAAAACUCGAGGCUCAACCUCGAGAUGUCGGCGGAAACCAUCUGGCUAGAGUCCGGAAGAGGAGAGUGGAAUUCCUGGUGUAGCGGUGAAAUGCGCAGAUAUCAGGAAGAACACCAAUGGCGAAGGCAGCUCGCUGGGACGGUACUGACGCUGAGGCGCGAAAGCGUGGGGAGCAAACAGG